Molecule: transfer RNA, 65 nt
Filed under: Atrocalopteryx atrata
Lineage: Eukaryota; Metazoa; Arthropoda; Insecta; Odonata; Calopterygidae
Description: tRNA-Leu
Source: RNAcentral
ACUAUUUUGGCAGAGAAGUGCCAUGAAUUUAGAAUUCAUUUAUGUAAGGAGUCUUACAAUUAGUA